AGGCUUCUCGCAUUGCUCACCAGCACCCAAACUGCACCUGGUCACCUGUCUACAUUCAGAUUUGGAUGAAAGCCACACCAUGGAGGCAGCCAGAGGCCCAUGGGAGAUGUCUGGAUUCGCAGAGCAAUAGCUCCAUGUGAUGCAAACCUUGACUAAUGGGAACAGGAAAAGGGAGGAAACCAGGAAGAUAAAUCUCCCUCCCUUCUCAUUGCUCCUUGCAACCCUUCCCACUUGAAGCAUGACCACAUUUAAUGAACAACCUGCUGUGUCUCUUGGAAGCUUGCUGCAAGGCAGCAAUCAGCACAAUAACAUUGUACUGUAUCUUCCUCUGCUUCACUUCUCUUCCUCCCUCACCCUCACUGCCCUGAGCUGGCACAUCCCAAAGAAAGCAUUACCACA
Molecule: long non-coding RNA, 399 nt
Filed under: Pan troglodytes (chimpanzee)
Lineage: Eukaryota; Metazoa; Chordata; Mammalia; Primates; Hominidae
Description: long non-coding RNA NONPTRT000236
Source: RNAcentral